GUGGCUAAGGCAUGCAAGUCGAACGAUGGUGGAAGGUAACGGAAGCACAUUUAGUGGCGAACGGGUGAGGAAUAGAUAGGUAACGUACCCCGGACUCAGGAAUAGCGGGGAACUUCGGUCCCUUUGCGAAAGUGCCGGUAAUACCUGAUGAUAUCACCGCAUCGCAUGGGGUGGUGAUCAAGGGUCCGCCGGUCUGGGAUCGGCCUAUCUCCUAUCAGCUUGUUGGUGGGGUAACGGCCCACCAAGGCUUCGACAGGUACCAGGCGUGAGAGCGCGAUCUGGCACAUCGGGACUGAGACACUGCCCGGACAUCUACGGAUGGCUGCAGCAACGAAUAUUCCGCAAUGGGCGCAAGCCUGACGGAGCGACGCCGCGUGCAGGAUGAAGCACCUCGGUGUGUAAACUACUGUCAGGGAUUAGGAAGAAAGUGACCAAUCCCAAAGGAAGCCUCGGCUAACUCCGUGCCAGCAGCCGCGGUAAUACGGAGGAGGCAAGCGUUGUUCGGAAUUACUGGGCUUAAAGCGUGCGUAGGCGGGAUGGCAGGUUCCAGUGAAAGCCCCCGGCUCAACCGGGGAACUGCUCGGUAAACCGCCACUCUUGAGGCCAGCAGGGGUACCCGGAACUUUGGGUGGAGCGGUGAAAUGCGUAGAUAUCCAAGGGAACGCCGGUGGCGAAAGCGGGGUACUGGACUGGUUCUGACGCUGAGGCACGAAAGCGUGGGGAGCAAACAGGAUUAGAUACCCUGGUAGUCCACGCCGUAAACGAUGCGCACUAGGUAUCAGCGCCUCUGACGGGGUUGGUGCCGUAGCAAAAGCGUUAAGUGCGCCGCCUGGGGAGUACGGCCGCAAGGCUAAAACUCAAAGGAAUUGACGGGGCUCACACAAGCGGUGGAGCAUGUGGAUUAAUUCGAAGCAACGCGAAGAACCUUACCUGGGUUUGACAUGCUAGGAUGCACCCGUGAAAGCGGGCUAUGCUGCCUUUGGUGAAACUAGCACAGGUGCUGCAUGGCUGUCGUCAGCUCGUGCUGUGAAGUGU
This 1035-nucleotide ribosomal RNA is filed under the name uncultured bacterium. RNAcentral describes it as "bacterial SSU rRNA". It matches the Rfam family "Bacterial small subunit ribosomal RNA", at positions 44 to 1075 of the family's 1533-position model. The record is from RNAcentral.